GGAAGAGCGUCGCACCUGGUGGUGCGCGCGGCCUUCAAAGCCGUUGAAGUGCUGUAAAAGUGCUUGGUGGGUUCGACUCCUACCUCUU
Molecule: transfer RNA, 88 nt
Filed under: marine eukaryotic metagenome
Description: Selenocysteine transfer RNA
Rfam family: Selenocysteine transfer RNA
Source: RNAcentral